This 26-nucleotide non-coding RNA is filed under the name Cricetulus griseus (Chinese hamster). The record is from RNAcentral. Lineage: Eukaryota; Metazoa; Chordata; Mammalia; Rodentia; Cricetidae.
UUGAACUCCUGUUCUACACUUCCCCC